RNAcentral lists this ribosomal RNA (450 nucleotides) under Brachyspira hyodysenteriae. Its description in RNAcentral is "bacterial SSU rRNA". It matches the Rfam family "Bacterial small subunit ribosomal RNA", at positions 39 to 505 of the family's 1533-position model. The record is from RNAcentral. Lineage: Bacteria; Pseudomonadati; Spirochaetota; Spirochaetia; Brachyspirales; Brachyspiraceae.
GCGAUGCGUCUUAAGCAUGCAAGUCGAGCGGGCUUAUUCGGGCAACUGGAUAAGUUAGCGGCGAACUGGUGAGUAACACGUAGGUAAUCUGCCGUAGAGUGGGGGAUAACCCAUGGAAACAUGGACUAAUACCGCAUAUACUCUUGCUACAUAAGUAGAGUAGAGGAAAGGAGCAAUCCGCUUUACGAUGAGCCUGCGGCCUAUUAGCCUGUUGGUGGGGUAACGGCCUACCAAAGCUACGAUAGGUAGCCGACCUGAGAGGGUGACCGGCCACAUUGGGACUGAGAUACGGCCCAGACUCCUACGGGAGGCAGCAGCUGAGAAUCUUCCACAAUGGACGAAAGUCUGAUGGAGCGACAUCGCGUGAGGGAUGAAGGCCUUCGGGUUGUAAACCUCGGAAAUUAUCGAAGAAUGAGUGACAGUAGAUAAUGUAAGCCUCGGCUAACUACG